UACGUAGGGUGCAAGCGUUGUCCGGAAUUAUUGGGCGUAAAGAGCUCGUAGGCGGUCUGUCACGUCGGAUGUGAAAACUCGGGGCUCAACCCCGAGCCUGCAUACGAUACGGGCAGACUUGAGUUCGGCAGGGGAGACUGGAAUUCCUGGUGUAGCGGUGAAAUGCGCAGAUAUCAGGAGGAACACCGGUGGCGAAGGCGGGUCUCUGGGCCGAUACUGACGCUGAGGAGCGAAAGCGUGGGGAGCGAACAGG
Molecule: ribosomal RNA, 253 nt
Filed under: uncultured bacterium
Lineage: Bacteria
Description: partial 16S ribosomal RNA
Rfam family: Bacterial small subunit ribosomal RNA
Source: RNAcentral